UCCCCGAGCUGCCACAUGGCAUAGUGAGUAUAGUCACACGCUAAGAGGCGCGUGAGAGGUGCCACAUCAACAUAAAAACGGUAACAAAUCCAAUUUUCACAUUUCGCUUUACAUUUCUUUCACUUCUAGCGGCUAACAUCAGCCCCUUGUUCUUAUUUAACCCCUCCCCCAUUAAAAUACACCACAACUUAAAAUUCAAGCUUUUUGUUCUCCUUCUUUUCUAAUUGUUAAAUUUUCUCUCUCAAUUGUAAGUUUCUCUGUCAAUUGUACUCAUGACUAGAGUUUGUAGAUAUGGAUUUCCGGCGGUGGUGAGGAUUUCAUGGUCCGAUGACAAUCCGGGAAGGAGAUUUUGGGGUUGUCAAAAUUACAAGGUGAAAAGUCGAAGUUCUUGCAAUUUUUUCAAUUGGUAUGAACCACCAUUUUCGGGGCAAGCUAAUAUUGUUAUUUGGGGUUUGUUGAAGAAGAAAAACAAAUAUGAGCAAGAGUUGAAGUGGUCAAAAACAUUGAAGAUUUGUCUAUGUAUUAGUGUCCUAUUUAAUUUGAUGUUUUAUCUUGGUUCUGGUAGUAGUACUAAUUAGGUUGAAGUGAAGUUGUACUUAGAUGAUUAACAAUGGUUGUAGUACUAAUUAGGUUGAAGUGAAGUUCUAUUUAGAUGAUUAACAAUGUAAUCUAAUUUUGGUUAGCAUAUUGAAUAUGAUUAUGAUGACUUUGUGAA
Lycium barbarum (goji berry) is the source of this 715-nucleotide long non-coding RNA. RefSeq lists it as uncharacterized. The transcript has 2 exons. Lineage: Eukaryota; Viridiplantae; Streptophyta; Magnoliopsida; Solanales; Solanaceae. The record is from RefSeq and is a predicted model, not a curated record.